GUGCCAGCAGCCGCGGUAAUACGGAGGGUGCAAGCGUUGUUCGGAAUCACUGGGCGUAAAGCGCGUGUAGGCGGUCUCCUAAGUCUGAUGUGAAAGCCCGGGGCUUACCUCCGGAAGUGCAUUGGAAACUGGGAGACUGGAGUACCGGAGAGGGAUGCGGAAUUCCAGGUGUAGCGGUGAAAUGCGUAGAUAUCUGGAGGAACACCGGUGGCGAAGGCGGCAUCCUGGACCAACACUGACGCUGAUGAGCGAAAGCCAGGGGAGCAAACGGGAUUAGAUACCCCUGUAGUCC
RNAcentral lists this ribosomal RNA (292 nucleotides) under uncultured bacterium. RNAcentral describes it as "partial 16S ribosomal RNA". It matches the Rfam family "Bacterial small subunit ribosomal RNA", at positions 505 to 796 of the family's 1533-position model. The record is from RNAcentral.